This 240-nucleotide unclassified non-coding RNA is filed under the name soil metagenome. RNAcentral's name for it is "partial contains 5.8S ribosomal RNA, internal transcribed spacer 2, and large subunit ribosomal RNA". The record is from RNAcentral.
AACCAUAGAAACCUGCGGAGUACCUGCGGAAGGAUCAUUACAGAGUUGCAAAACUCCCUAAACCAUUGUGAACGUUACCUAAACCGUUGCUUCGGCGGGCGGCCCGGGUCCUUCCCGGCGCCCAUCGGCCCUCGCGGGCGCCCGCCGGAGGUAAACCAAACUAUUGCAUUGUAUGGCCUCUCUGAGUCUUCUGUACUGAAUAAGUCAAAACUUUCAACAAUGGAUCUCAGAUCGGAAGAG